GAUGAACGCUGGCGGCGUGCCUAAUACAUGCAAGUCGAGCGAACAGACGAGGAGCUUGCUCCUCUGACGUUAGCGGCGGACGGGUGAGUAACACGUGGAUAACCUACCUAUAAGACUGGGAUAACUUCGGGAAACCGGAGCUAAUACCGGAUAAUAUGUUGAAUCGCAUGGUUCAACAGUGAAAGACGGUCUUGCUGUCACUUAUAGAUGGAUCCGCGCCGCAUUAGCUAGUUGGUAAGGUAACGGCUUACCAAGGCAACGAUGCGUAGCCGACCUGAGAGGGUGAUCGGCCAAACUGGAACUGAGACACGGUCCAGACUCCUACGGGAGGCAGCAGUAGGGAAUCUUCAGCAAUGGGCGAAAGCCUGACGGAGCAACGCAGCGUGAGUGAAGAAGGUCUUCGGAUCGUAAAACUCUGUUAUUAGGGAAGAACAAAUGUGUAAGUAACUAUGCACGUCUUGACGGUACCUAAUCAGAAAGACACGGCUAACUACGUG
RNAcentral lists this ribosomal RNA (497 nucleotides) under uncultured bacterium. Its description in RNAcentral is "partial 16S ribosomal RNA". It matches the Rfam family "Bacterial small subunit ribosomal RNA", at positions 28 to 507 of the family's 1533-position model. The record is from RNAcentral.